Paramuricea clavata is the source of this 435-nucleotide non-coding RNA. Lineage: Eukaryota; Metazoa; Cnidaria; Anthozoa; Malacalcyonacea; Plexauridae. The record is from the annotation of a GenBank genome assembly.
AUUGAACUAUAAAUAAACUGGAAGGCUAACUCAGGGGGGGAAAUUGAAGCCAGUGCAUUUUAGUUUUUCUGAGUUAUGAGCAGAAAUACUCAACACUGAACGUUGGGCUAUAUAUCAAAUUGAACUGAAAAACUCUAUUUGGUGUAGAAAUUUCAAGACUUUAGCUAAAAGGGAAAUAUUGAAAAACUACAAACAUAAUUACCGAUAAUUUGCCGUUUUGCAGUUGUUUUUGUAUUUUUUAAAGAUUUUUCUUUUCGCUGAAGUCUUGAAAUUUCCACACCGAAUAGCAAUUUUCAACAGCUUCAAUUUGAUAUAUAGGCCGACGUUUGGGGUCAAGUAUUUCUGCUCAUAACUCAGAAAAACUAUUUUGGCUUCAUCAAAUCAUAGGCCUUCAUCAUAGCAGUUAGCCUUCCAGUUUAUUUAUAGUUCAAUGGU